Molecule: RNA transcript, 12348 nt
Organism: Mus musculus (house mouse)
Lineage: Eukaryota; Metazoa; Chordata; Mammalia; Rodentia; Muridae
Gene: Rsbn1l
Gene name: round spermatid basic protein 1-like
Exons: 7
Source: RefSeq, marked validated
GUUCAAGGCCAGCCCGGGGUACAGGAGACUGUCUCACGAUAGAAAGCAAACAAAACACAAGCAAAGCAGAUGAGCAUACAGAAUGAAAUGAGAAGCAUAACACCAGUUAUUUAUUUUUAAAGAUUUAUUUAUGAUUUAUAUGUAAGUACACUGCAGCUGUCUUCAGACACACCAGUAGGGGGUGUCAGAUCUCAUUACAGAUGGUUGUGAGCCACCACAUGGUUGCUGGAAUUUGAACUCAGGACCUUCAUAAGAACAGUCAGUGCUCUUAACCCCUGAGCCAUCUCUCCAGCCCCAUAACACCAUUUAUUAUGCCUGGCGUGGUGGCCUCCCCUUUAAUCCCAGCACUCGGGAGGCAGAGGCAGGCGGAUUUCUUAGUUCGAGGUCAGCCUGGUCUACAAACUGAGUUCCAGGACAGCCAGGGCUAUACAGAGAAACCCUGUCUCAAAAAAAAAAAAAACAAAAAACAAAACAAAACAAAAACAAAAAACAAACAAACAAAACCCAACAACAACCCAUCCCCCCAAAAACAAAAAACCCACCAUUUAUUACCCUGAAUAUGAAAUCUAUAGUAUAAGUCUAAAAAAUUUCCAUAAUAUCUUCCUAGAAAAGUUACAAAAUUUAAAUUACAAAAUUAAAACAACUAAAUGAACAGGUAGCCAAUGUUCAUGGAUAAGAAGGCUUAACAUGGUUAGCUCUUCUCCAGAUUCGGUAAAAUCCUAAGCAAACAAGAGAAUUAUUCUGUGGAUACUAACCAACUGAUUUCAUUUUUUUUUUUCCCUGAGACAGAGAUUUUCUUUGUAGCCCUGGCCUUGCUCUGUAGACCAGGCUGGCUUAGAACUCAGAGAGAUCUGCCUGCCUCUUUCUCCCAAGUGCUGGAAUUAAAGGUGUGUACACCAUCAUUUCCAAGCUGAUUUCAAAUAUAUCUGAAGGAGGAAAAACCUGUAAUAACUAGCAUAGAAUCAAGAACAAACUUGAGCCAACGGCGAUGGCACCCACCUUUGAUCACAGCACUUAGAGGGCAGAGGCAGGUACAUCUUUAUGCUAGAGGCCAGCUUGGUCUACACAGUGAGUUCCUGGUCAGCUAAGGCUACACAGAGAGGCUCUGUCUCAGCAAACAACAGGAAAGAACAGACAUAAAGGACUGGUACUACUUGACUUUGAGACUUGACUGCUUUGUCAAGCUACAGUGAUCAUGAUAAUGUGGUCCUGGAGAAAGAAAUCAAUUAACGGAAAGCACAGAAAUAGACCCAUCUAAAUAUACUCCACUGAUCAGGACAAAGGAACAAAGGGGAAACUGUGGAGGAAAAAUAUCUUCAGCAAAGGCACUGACCACUUAGAGUUCACAGUGGUUUUCCUGCCUCAUCCUCAUCUCCAGAUGUUGGGAUUACAGGCAUGUGUCAUGCCUGCUUCUGCUUUACUCUAAAGUAGCUUGAAUAAUUACCAUAGAAUUGUAUUUCCUUCAUCACUCUCUCACACACACACACACACACACACACACACACACACACACACUUUGUGUACAAUGUUUUAUCUCCCAAGUCCAGGAGCACGCUCCUUAGCCUGUUACUGUAUAUGUAAAGUUUAGCAUUAUAAAUGCUAUAACAUACCAGGCGCUCAAUACAAGUUUAAAAGCAUUUUUUAUUACAUUUGCUGGGUCUGGUUGCCUUUAAUCCUAGCACUGGGAGGCAGAAGCAGGUAGAUCUUUGUGCGUUCAAGGGUAGCCUGGUCUACAUAGUGAUUUCCAGGAUUGUCAGGGCUAUGUAGAGAGAACCUGCCUCUAAAAAACAAAAAUAAAAACAAAACCAUUUUUAUAACAUUUAUUUAUAUUGUGGGUGUGAGAGAGAGAGGGAGGGGGAGGGAGAGGGAGAGGACUUGUAUAUGUAUACAUGCAGGAGAUUUCCACAGUACACAUGCAGGGUCAGAGGACCACUUGCUGGGAUCAGUUCUCCCUUCCACCAUAUGGGCCUUGGGGACUGAACUCAGUUUGUUAGGCUCUGUGCCAAUGCCUUCAUUCUUGCUGAGCCAUUUCACCAAUAAACAUUUGUUAAAAGAACUCCAGGGCUGGAGGGCUGGAGAGAUGCUUUAGCAGUUAAGAGCACUGGCUGCUCUUCUAGAGGACCACGGUUCAAUUUCCAGAACUCACAUGGGGGCUCACCACUGUAACUCCAGCUCCAGAGGCUCCAAUACCCUCAGACGUACGUGCAAGCAACACUGAUGCACUUAGAGUAUAGAUUAAAACAAAACAAAACAAAACAAAACCCGAUGGCUUCUACUCACUCUGCCCGGCUGAUUCUGCCCUCUCCCUUCUGCUUCCUGCUUUGUGGUUGCUACUGGCUCACCAAGGAAGCUUUUAGACAGGGGCUGACUGAUCUUUCACCUCCAGUUCUCACCUCUGUCCCAAACUUAAGUACACAUUCAAACUGAACGACAAAUUGUGGUUAAGAAACUGGUUAUGCAGUAUUUACUGUAAGCUGAUAUUAGUGGGGAGGAAGUGAGAGUGCAGUUUACCUGAGCGAUCAGAAAUGUUAAGAAAAGUGACCCAUACGUUUAUAAUCUUGUCAGUUUCUCUUAAGCUUCAGGAAGUGAGAAGGGGCCAAGGUCCUCCUCCCCGGGAGCUUUCCUGAAAGCGUUAGAGGAAGGGUUCCUUGACAUUUUACCUCAGGCCCAGGAGUAAUGGAGGUUGCAUAGCGUGCACGCUCUAUCUUUUUUACCCCCUUAAUGAGGUUCAUCAACCUCAAAGAAAUAAGGAUUCAGGAAGCUAAAAAAAAAAAUAAGAAUGCAGGCACUGGCAGGAGACCUAUGCAGGAUGUUGGGCAGUGAGGACACACAAGGGACAACCGAGUUCUGAGAGAUUAAACUGGGGCUGUUAGCAGUUUAUGGAUGUCAUGAGCAUUUUCAGGAUCGGCCAGAGAAAAUAAGGACCCAUAAGUUUUCGGCCAGAAGUAGGUGAAAAAAAGGCCUUUGUGUAGACCAUGAAGGCAUCACUUAUUACUGUUUGACAAGUCUGUAAAUACUGUGAAAAGGUUCCUCCUGAGACAGUCAUGGAAACUGACGGCAACUGUUCAAAUCAGCAGUUAAUUUCCCCGUCACUCACGCUGCAUUUAUUUAAAACAUUACUUUUGGACAGAAAGGUUAUAUGGUUACUUCGUACAUUUGGCUCCGAUAUCUUAGCAAACGUUUUAAAAGCAGAGUCACACAGGGCUGGGGAAAUGGCUCAGUGGGCAGGAGCAGAGAGCACUUGCUGCUCUUGCAGAGGGCCUGAGUUCAGAUUCCAGUGUCUAUACUUGCUGGCUCACAACAACAUCUAAGAACAAUUUCAGGGAAUCUGUUGUCCUCUUCUGGCCUCCAUGAGGAGGGGAGGGGAGGGGAGGGAACAAAAGUUAUUUUGGGCUUUAGAGAGAUGGUCAGUGGCUAAGAGUACUUGUUUUGCGAGAGGACAUGGAUUUGUUCCCUAGCAAGGCAGCUCACCACCGGCCAUAACUCCAGGUCCACGGAAUCCACUGUUCUCUUCUGGCUUCCACAGGCAUCUGACAUAUAUGUGAUAUACACAUGCAUAUGGAGGCAAACAGCAGUACACACACAAUAAUAAGGAAACUACUUUACAAUGUACUUUGCUUCAGUUUCUGAGAUAGGUAUGCAUGUAGCCCAUAUUGGCCUGAGUUUACUAUGCCGUUAGUUGGGGAUCUGAUCCUUUUGUGGCUCCCUCUAAAAUGCCGAGAGCACAGGGCUGUAUCACCAUGUCUGACGGUAAAUUAUUUUAAGUGUUUCCUUACUUUUUGUUUGUUUGUUUUGUUUUGUUUUGAGACAGAGGUUUUUUUUUUUUUUUUUUUUGUAGCCUUGACUGUCCUGGAACUCACUCUGUAGACUAGGUUAGCCCGGAAUUCAGAGAUUUGCCUGCAGAUCUGCCUCCAGUGUGCUGAGAAAUUAUUUUAACUUUAACAGUUACAAUGUGAUUCUGCAAAUCUUGAAAAUGGCAAAUCAAGAAUAGAGGAACCUUGUAGUCAAAUUUACCAAAUAAGACAACAGAGAGCUUCCCAGGCAAAGCGGCCUGAGUAGAAUCUCAAGGCUGGUGAGUGGGUGACUGCCAGUCCUAUCGUUUCCCCCAUUGUAUGCCACUCCCCAGGAAGACAGGCCAGUUCACUGCAGCACCUGCUUUCUGCUAGGAUAUUUAUUUAUUUAUUUUGGUUUUUGGAGACAGGGUUUCUCUGUUUAGCCCUGGCUGUCCUGGAUCUCACUCUGUAGAUCAGGCUGGCCUCGAACUCAGAAAUCUGCCUGCCUCUGCCUCCCAAGUGCUGGGAUUAAGGGCGUGAGCCACCACUGUCUGGCUGGAUAUUUAAUUUUUGCCAUGCAGACAUAACAUAGAUGUGUUUUUAUUUAAUAGAUCAUUAAUUCUGCUCCCGGACAUUGUUCCCCUCUGCACAAGCAAAUGCUUUCUAAAAGAGAAAAAAAUAGAAAAAUGCAUUUUAAAAAGAUCAUUAGAGCCUUGCAGCAGUGGCACACACCCUUAAUCCCAGCACUUAGGAGGCAGAGACAGGCGGAUUUCUGAGUUUGAGGCCAGCCUGGUCUAGAGUGAGUUCCAGGACAGCCAGGGCUAUACAGAGAAACCCUGUCUCAAAAACCGAAAAAAUUAAAAAAAAAUCAUUAGACUAACUGACACUGUUAUGAAUGUCCCAAUUAGAUAAUCUAGAGAGGAAACCCCUUUUCCUUUUGUUUUCUUACUUAGCGUUCAGUUUCAUUCCAACACUUUCCAUGUUGUACCCUUAUUUGCUCAGUCACACCACCACUCCCUCAUCCCCUGCCCUGGAUGUAGACAUACUCAUUCCCAGGUGAGGGAGAUGAAGUGACUUUCUUUCUUAUGCUCAUCACCUUUCUUUUUCCCAUUUCCCUUCUAUUUUUAUGUUGUGUGUGUGUUUUUAAAACUAGAUUACACACAUUAGAGAAAAUAUGCAAAAUUUGUCUCUCUGGGUCUAGCUUCAGGGAAUACUCUAUAUAUUAACAAUUUACUUCUAAAAACUAAAAACAAUGAGGACAGAUGCAGUGGUACACACCUUUCUUUAAUUCCAGCACUGGGGGAAAGGGAGUUGGGCAAAUGCAGGAAGAUUUGAGUUCGAGGCCAGGCUGGUUUACAGGACAGCCAGGACAAUAUUGGAAGACUAUGACUCAAAAAACAAACGAACCAACCAACCAACCAAAAAAAGAAAAAUGUAUUUACAAACAGCGUUAGAUUUUGAUGUGUUCCCCUCACCGAGUCCUAAAGAAGUGGGUUUGGAGUAAAAGAGGAGUAACAACAGACCAUUGCAGUUUCCUGAAAGGCAACUGUUAGCUGCGGAAAGUAACUGCUAAUGUCCCUCUUAGGGGAUCAGAAAACUCCUUUUUCUUGCUGAGCUAAUAUGAUCAUGUGUUAUCUUUACAUUCUAAUCUCACAAAAGAUCUAAGACUUUAAGGCAUGCUCUUGUCUAAAGCUUGAACUGUGUUGUAACCCAUUCCCCCAAAUUCCUUAUCUUUUGAGAUAAAAAUCAAGGUACAUGCUUGGCGAAGUUUCAUAGCGCUGACUCUGAAAUACAGAACUCUAACUGCAUUUUCAAACAUUUACAAACACCGCUAGUGGCUUUUUCCUGGUGUCGUUUAAAGAAUAAUUAAAGUGAAAACCUUUAGCACUCAAGCUCAAUUUAAAGCCUCCAAACGGUGGGUGAUUUUUAUCUUCACGAUCGGAAGUGAUCCAAGUUCCAGCUCUGCAGAAAACUCUCUUUUAAAGUACGAACUUUUACGACCUUAGUUAAAAUAAGGCAACUUUUCACCAUUUCUGCCUUUGCUGAUCGGACUCUCGACAAAUUUUCUCCGAGACGAGCAACCCAGAACUCGUUUUUCAGAACCUGCAGAAGGGACCCAAGCCACCUCAAGGUAAAAAGAGAGAGCGGUACAAACAAGGCAAAGUCUUUGAGCGAACGGCAGCGCUACCUCGGUCCGGGCAGAUUCGGGGCUCCCGAGCGACGGUCGGGAGAUCCUCCCUUCUCAGCGAGCUCUCCAUCAGCCGCGCCGAAAAGACCUCUGACCUCCAAAUGAAGGUCCGCUCGGUGACCCCACCCCGACGGCUUCUGUCCGCGUCUUUGAUUGGUUUGUUCCGGGAUCUCUCAGUUUAGCGCGCCCAAUGGGAGCUCGGCCUGGACCUAGGCACCCCGCCCCGCGCCCCCGCUCCGGGGAGCGGCGGAGAGUAAAUACAACAGGAGCGCAAAAUGGCGGAACCGCCGAACCCAGCUCGCGGCGCCGUGGCUCUCCUCUCUGAGAAGGAAGCAUCUGGCAAAGUACAGCCUUCCUCGCGGGAGCCGCCGGGCUCUAUGUCUGCCAAGAAGGUUCGCACCGAGGAGAAGAAGGCGCCGCGGAGAGUGAACGGGGAGGGGGGCAGCGGCGGGAACGGCGGGCAGCUGCAGCCCCAGAGCUUCGGCAGCCCGGCGGCGUGGAGCUUCGCGGCUCGGCCCGCCGCCUCCUCCUCGUCCACCUCUCGGAGCUGUUACUCUUUCUCCGCCAGCCCGAGCGUCUCCUCAGCCUCCGCUUCCUCGUCUCAGCCGCUGCCGCGCAAACUGCUGGUCACUCCCUCGCUGCUGCACGCUCAGCCUCACCGCGUCCUGCUCCCGCCCGUCGCUCCGCCGGCCGCCGCCAAGCCGCGCAGACCCAAGGAGAAGCGCGAGAAGGAGAAGCGGAGGCAGCACGGCCUCGGCGCCGCCGCCCGGGAUGAGAACGGCGAGGCGAAGCCGCUGCCGCGAGAUAAAAUCAAAGACAAAAUUAAAGAGAAAGACAAAGAGAGAGAGAAAAAGAAGCAUAAAGUAAUGAGUGAGAUCAAGAAAGAAAAUGGAGAUGUAAAGAUUUUACUGAAAAGUGGGAAGGAGAAACCAAAAACAAAUAUAGAAGACUUACAAAUUAAAAAAGUAAAGAAGAAAAAGAAAAAGAAACACAAAGAGAAUGAAAAACGGAAGCGUCCAAAAAUGUAUAGCAAAUCUAUUCAGACCAUCUGUUCAGGAUUGCUGUCUGCUGAAGAUCAAGAAGCCAAAAGCAUCUUAAGUGAUAAUGUAAAGGAUUGCAUUGGAAAAAAUUUGGAUACCAAAAACUGUGAUUCAAAAAUUCCUGAUAACAGUGACUUUCCAUUUGUGUCAUUAAAGGAGCCCCGCGAUAAGAAUAACCUUAGAAGGUUGGACACUUUGGCGUUCAGGCAGCUCAUUCACAUUGAGCACCAGCCUAACGGAGGCGCGGCAGUCAUCCAUGCCUACAGUAAUGAACUCUCCUGCCUGUCUCCCAUGGAGAUGCAGAGAUUUGCAGAAGAAUUUGUGGGUUUAGUGUUCAGUGAAAACGAAAGCUCUGCGGCUUUCUAUGUAAUGGGCAUUGUUCAUGGGGCAGCUACAUACUUACCUGACUUUUUAGACUACUUUUCGUAUAAUUUUCCCAAUUCACCAGUGAAAAUGGAGAUACUGGGAAAGAAAGAUAUAGAAACAACGACUAUGUCCAAUUUUCAUGCUCAGGUAAAAAGAACAUAUUCUCAUGGUACUUACAGAGCUGGCCCGAUGCGACAGAUCAGCUUGGUGGGAGCAGUUGAUGAAGAAGUGGGCGAUUACUUCCCCGAGUUCCUUGACAUGUUAGAGGCGUCACCAUUUUUAAAAAACUACCAAUGAAAUAAAAAACCUUCAGUAUCUACCUCGAACCAGUGAGCCUCGGGAGAUGCUGUUUGAAGACAGGACGAGAGCCCAUGCGGAUCACAUAGGACAAGGCUUUGAACGACAGACCACGGCGGCUGUUGGGGUGCUCAAGGCUGUGCACUGUGGACAGCGGCCUGAUCAACCCCGAGUAACCAAAGAUGUAAUUUGUUUUCAUGCAGAAGAUUUCUUAGAAGUAGUUCAGCGAAUGCAGUUAGACUUACAUGAGCCUCCACUGUCCCAGUGUGUGCAGUGGGUUGAUGAUGCAAAACUUAACCAGCUGAGGAGAGAAGGCAUUCGCUAUGCCAGGAUUCAGCUGUAUGAUAAUGACAUUUAUUUUAUUCCAAGGAAUGUUGUCCAUCAGUUCAAGACAGUUUCAGCUGUAUGCAGUUUGGCAUGGCACGUUCGACUUAAAUUCUAUCACGCAGAGGAGGACACUUGUCACAGUACAAGUGAAAGUACUCAUGAAAAGGGCAUAGCAUCAGGUCCCACAUCAUCAGUUCUGGGAGCUCACACUGAGAACCAAGCCUCCUCAGACUCUGUGUUGUCAGACAAACUUCCUUCUAAGUAUGAAUCACAACAAAUUAAACACGAACCUGGUGCAGCUCUAAGAAUCAAGGAAGAGCCUGGGAUGGCUCCCAUACCUGAAAAGAUCAGAACACCAAAUAACACGGAAGGCAAGAACAGUAAGGCGAGACUGGAUCGCGCUCAGUUUUCAGAUUUUCACAUUGACAUGGAUUCUGCAUUUGAGAACACCAACAAAGACUUAAAGGAAGACUCGUGUCCUGGCAGUGUCAGUAAUACAGUUGAUACACAGCAGCAUAGUUCUGUACGUUCAAGUCAAGACAGAAGUGAGGAUGACAGUUUGUGCUAAAUUUGUACAUUACGUAUAGCCUUUUCUUUAAAAAAUAAUUUGUAAUGAUUCAUGAAAUCUGAAAGCAAGCCUAGGAAUUGCUCUCAAGUCUGUUACAAAAUAUAGUUGAUGUAGCGUUGUCACAUUCCUCAGUGCCUGUCCAUAACUGUGAAGUAUCAAGCACUUAGGGCCAGAUGCACUGUAAACAUUGCAGGCGGAAACACACAGGAGUCUUUAGAAAAGUCAUUGAGUUGGAGUUGUAGGCUUUAGAAUAGAGCUGACAAAAUCAUAUAAAUAUAUUUUUUGUAAUAUGAGCCAGAAUUUUUUUGACAAUAUAAAGUUUUUCCAUAGAGCUUAUUUAUACCAACUUUUUUUUUCAUUUUAAAUGUCAGCACUGUAGUGUAAAUAGCUUUACAAAACCUUUUUAGUGUGAUUUAUAUUGAAAUGUGAGCCACUUAAUAAAGGUUCAUAAUAAUAAAUGCUUUCUGUUGAGCUUGCAAAAACAUACUGACAAUUCAGUUUGUUUGAUAUAUUAUGUUCCCGUUAAUAUACAUGAGGUGAAGUGAUGGAGGGAAAAUGUGUGUUCCAAUCUAGUAAAUAUUUAAAAUUUCCAUACUGUACAAGCAUUCAGAAAGCCACAAUUCUGUUAUUAAAACAUAUACAUAUGGAUUGUGUGUGUAUGUGUGUGUAUGUGUGUACACGUAUGUACAUGUGUGCUUGGGAAUGUAUAUAUGUACAUUGUUUUGCACAAUUUCUUAAAUUGAUGAAUAUAUAAAAGUUCUUAGUGCUACUUCCUGGAUUGUAUUCUAAAAUAUUUCUGUUCAGCAGUAAGAAAAUAAUUUAAUUAAUAGAGUUUUAGAAGUUGGGAGAACCUGUGUUGAUGGUUUUAUCCUUCUAACUAAUGAAGUCAAUGUGGCUGGAGUCUUUAGCCCUAGUGUAAUUCUUUUGUGCAAAUAAUAAGUUUAGAAAAUUUUCUAAUAAGCACCUAUAUGUUUAGUAAUAGUUGACUUAAAAAUUGACAUACAGAAAGUUUAAUUAGGAGUAAUUAAAAGUCUUUUACAUUUUUUCAUAUCACAAAAAUGAACUUUUAAACCAAGGGCAGUGACAGUGACCCAGCCAUCAUUCACAGAUGUGACUAGCAAACACUGUCAGAUCAUCUUCCUCAGGACCCUUCGCCAGCCUGCAGGGCAAACCUAAGGUGUACCUCCUCUAGAGAUGCUCUAGGGGUUCAUUGUGUAGGAGACAGGGUGGCCAGUGCCUGCACGGUGAGUAGACAUCUGCACCCAUGGACUUGAGCAUGGUUCCAGUCUGCUUCCACUCCGUCCUAGUGAUUGCAAAUGCCGUGGUGUUUGUUUUAGUCUGGGUCCCUGCCUUGAUUGGCGACUUUGAGUUGGCUCUCCUUGUGCUGCGUGGCCUUUUGGGAGACCGCUGUUCCCACCUCAGUGGGCUCCACUUUCACCUCAGUUUUGGUAAGCCAUCAAAGCUCAUGCUUCUAGCUGGGGAGAAACCACUUAGAGAAAUGUAUUUCACUAGAACUGAUGAAAAUCAGCACCAGCAGCAGUGUCUUGUGUCCUUACUUGAGGUGGGCACAUAAAGUAGAAAAUGCUGGUGGCUUAUAGGAGGAUCUCAGGAUGUUUGCAGGUGGCGUGGAGGUGGGGGUGGGGAUUCAUGGAGCAGAGAAAUUAAAAAUCGUGGCAGUGUAAAUAGGGUUUGGUUUUCUAUGUAACUAGCUGUCUUUCACUGCCCUCAUUUAAUCUAUUCUAAGCUAAAUUUAGGGUUCUUCAUCUUUCUUAAGGUGGGAUAGCAAAAAUUCUUAACAUAUGAGUAUUAAGAAAUAGGGAGGGAUAUUGUUAAAAUUUAGUUUUUAAAUUGACGGUGAUAUAUUUAUCACAGUAUGUUUUAUUUCCAGUUGCACAUAUGUAGGCCCACUGAGAUCAUACUGUAAGAAAACACUGUUAGGGUAUUUCCAAAACAUAUGAGCCUUAAGUUUUAGCUUAAAGGAAGGUACACCUGAGAUAGCAUCGCCACUGCUUUUAGGUAUAGUUUCUUAUGUGACCCUUAGUUCACAUAGUUAUCCAUACAGAUUAAUUGCUCUGUCAAAUGCAUACAUCUCUGAAGGUGAAGUAUGUGUAAACCAGCAGGCUCAAGAUUUCAAGAUAAAGCCUUACAGACUUGAAUCAUGCUUACGCCCCAGGCUUACGGGUUAUUUUUUAAAAUCCUCUUCAGAUGCCAUCUGAGAACUUGUUAACUACUUUUGUUACAGACAAAUUCCUAUUUUAAUAUUGCAUAAUAAUGGUUUUCUAGUUAGUAUACUCCCAUUCUCCAUGUGAAUAUAAGAUUUUUAUUUCCAGUAUCUUGGACCAGAACAUAAAGCAGUCAAGGUAUAGUUUUAAUAAGGUCAUAUGCUAUAUAGAGUGAAUAUUAUAUAAGUUAUUAAGUGAUAUACUACAGACCUUUACAUCAAAACGUAGGUACAUCAGUGGUAUUUGAUAUAUAUACUUUUUCCCCCUUUUUCUAAUUUUAUUUAUAUUUUCUUAGAUGUAGUAUAUAUCCCAUGCUCAGGUUAGCUAUCAAAAGAAUGAAACAUUUUUGAUAUUUAGUUGCAAAUUUACAUAAAGCCAUAUAUUAUCUUCCUUAUGACUGACGAAACUAUUGACCUUAAUGAUCAGGUUGGUUUAGCACAACACUGUGUAUUGUAUUUAUGUGUGUAUUUCUGAAUAAGUUUGUUUGAAAUAUGUUUCCAAAAUAGGAGGGGUAGGAAAUUAAGGAUGGGAAAGACUUUCUUAGGUUUAACUUUUAAGGAAUGUACUUAAUGUAUUCAAAGUAGGAUUUCAUUUUUUCAAAAUUCAGUUCUAUGUAAGGUUUUUUGUUGGUUUGUUUUUUCUUUUUUUGUAAAUAAUAAAUUAGCAUUGUUUGGUAACUUUGCUUUUUUGAGGGUAUUGGAAGGGACAAUUUAUUUAUAUGUAAAGUGAUUAUUUCCAGUUAGCCAAGGUACAGAUUUGGUUUUGGCAUUUGAGAGGCUAUUUUCCUUGUCUUCCACCUUUCAAUAAAUACUAAGAUUGAUAACCACAAUCUUUUUACCUUUGUUUUGUAAUUAUUUUCUUGGAUUUGACAUUAUAUUUUAGUCUCAGACUUCCUAUUUCUGUCUGUACCUACUGUCUUCUGAAAUAGCAAGGACCGAGGUGGGGGUGGGAGUCUAGUCUUAUAUUUCAGGUUAUCUAUCUUUCUAGCUUGUCAUGGACUUCACACCCAAUUAAUGAAUAUGAACGAGCUGCGAGAAAUACAUGGGCAUGUAGAAUUUAUGUUAACAGAAAUUAUAAGCAAAAUGUAUGUUUCUUUUUAAAAUAUUAUAGCUUUAUGUGUAUGGGCUUUUGCCUGUAUGUGUAUCUGUGCAUCUCUUGUGUCCAAUGCCCAGAGAGGUCAGAAAGGGCUUUGGUUUCCCUAGGACAGUGGCUCUCAACCUGAAUUCUGCGAUCCUCUCUUAUGUUCCUUAUGUUAUGGUGACCCCACCUAUAAAACUGUUUUUGUUGCUAUUUCAUACCUAUAAUUUUGCUACUGUUAGGAAUCAAAAUGUAAAUUCCCGUGUUUUCUGAUGUCUGAGGUGAGUCCUGUGAAAGGAUCAUUCCGUCCCUUCAGGAGGUUGUGUGCUGCUAAUUGUGCUGCUAAUGUGCUGAGAAUUGAACCCAGGACCUCUGGAAGAGCAACCAUUGCUCUUAGCCACCAAGCCAUUUCUCUGGCCCACCUGUGUUUUUCUUCACGGUGAUCUUAACCAUUAUUGUGAAAAUAAAAGAACUGGGAUCCCAAAAUUAA